This 253-nucleotide ribosomal RNA is filed under the name uncultured bacterium. RNAcentral's name for it is "partial 16S ribosomal RNA". It matches the Rfam family "Bacterial small subunit ribosomal RNA", at positions 524 to 776 of the family's 1533-position model. The record is from RNAcentral.
UACGUAGGGGGCAAGCGUUGUCCGGAAUCACUGGGCGUAAAGCGCGUGUAGGCGGUCCGGUAAGUCGGUUGUGAAAGUCCAGGGCUCAACCCUGGGAUGCCGACCGAUACUGUCGGACUAGAGUUCGGAAGAGGCGAGUGGAAUUCCCGGUGUAGCGGUGAAAUGCGCAGAUAUCGGGAGGAACACCAAUGGCGAAGGCAGCUCGCUGGGACGUUACUGACACUGAGGCGCGAAAGCGUGGGGAGCGAACAGG